CUGGCCUUGACAAUGCGCUCUGUGACUUCACGAGUACAUUGCAUUCCAGAUGGGAAAAGCCCUGUGGAGCUGAGAGGCCCUGUGAAGGAAGAGGCCCUGUGGAGGAUAGAUGCCUUCUGAGGAGAGAGGUUCUUCCCCCUGUGGCGAAGCCCUGUGGAGAGGAGCCUAAGAUGAAUGGGAGCUCUGCCACUGUUUCUUCUUCUGCUACUCUGUUUCAGCAGGGGCCUCUGGCCUCAUUUGUGUUCCCUGGGGACCACAGCUAUGGCACCAGAGCCGAAGUUAUCCUGAGUUCACCUCAGCUGAUCUGUAGGCAGCAACUUUAAGGAAGACACGUGUAGAGUGGCAAGUGGAAGGCAGGGUACUGCUGAGUCUGAGCUCUCCGAAAGAGUAGCCAUAGAAGACCAAAUUGCAGAAAUGAACCCCCUGGACAAGGACACCACUCUCCUGGAAAAAGGGUCUCAAUGAGAAAACCAACACACAAACAAGAUACUCUCAAGUAUUGCUCCGAACUGGGAGCCGAGAAACACUUCAAGGACUGGGAAGCAGACUGCUAUAAAUUGGC
RNAcentral lists this long non-coding RNA (562 nucleotides) under Mus spicilegus (steppe mouse). Its description in RNAcentral is "lncRNA (ENSMSIG00000024916.1)". The record is from RNAcentral. Lineage: Eukaryota; Metazoa; Chordata; Mammalia; Rodentia; Muridae.